Molecule: transfer RNA, 63 nt
Filed under: Batracomorphus extentus
Lineage: Eukaryota; Metazoa; Arthropoda; Insecta; Hemiptera; Cicadellidae
Description: tRNA-Ser
Source: RNAcentral
AGUUAUUUAGCUUAUAAAAAGCAUAUAUUUUGAAAAUAUAAGAAAGAUAUUGUUUAAUAACUU